GAGACUUUUGUGGUAGUAGAGAGGAUCUGGGCUUCUUGGGAUUUGAUCAUAUAGCUAUCAUUUGAUGAAAAAUCUGACUCUGGGGCCAUUCCUUAGAUUGCACAUGGUGACUGUUCUGUUGGUUCAUCAUCAAUGGAAAAGAAGGAUUCAAGGUCAUCUUCUUUCUGAUCUUAAUUCUUGAUUCUUACUGGAUUUGCUGGAUCAUCUUAGACCCUUUUUUGUUGUUUGGGCAAUUUUUUUACAAAAUGACCAUUUUGAUUACAGAUGUAACACCUAUUUGAUUUGGUUCCCCUUGGAGAUAUAUUUUUCUUUAAAUAUCUCCAUUUUGUUUUUCUUCUGAAAGAUCUUGGAAGAUUAAGGUUUUUGAAUCUCCUGAAAUGUUUUUUUUCUUUUUUAUCCUACAAUAGCAAUGCUUUUCAUGUCCACAUUUGAUUCGUAGGUAAGAAUCAUCACAGGCUUUGUCCAACCGCUUGUCACCAUGGAGAUAGUCUUUGAAAACCUUUUUCCUGUUGCAUAAGUCUUCAAGAGUAACAUAAGUUUCUUGUUGGAUUUCUCCCAUUGUCAGGCUGAGGAUGUUUCUGUUUUGCCUGUGGAGACUUUGAUUGAUAGCAACUUAAAGAGGCUCUGGUAUGGAUGCGAGAACUGCAGGUUUAAGACUUUUCUCUAGAUCAAGUGAACAAAAAAUUUUGGUCAUAGCGUGGAAAUGCUUGGAUAAGACUUUCUUGUUGUAAGAGUAGUAUUUUCGUUUGAAGAAUUCACUUCUUUUUAAGGUCAGAAGAUCUUCAGGAUUUCCAGUAAAAUGAUUAUGGAUAAUCCUGAUGGCUUGGGAUAAAUCUAUUAAGACUAGAAAUUACAUCUGAUCUACUUGAUUGAUCGAAUUCCACCAGUCUCUUAACAUUCUUGUAAAUCUGGAAACAAAUUCUAACAGGAUAUUGUAAUGACUUUCUUCUGUUAAUUUUCUGGUGUCAAGCCAUGAGUGAAACUCCUGGAGUCUUCCUGGCCAUCUAGAAGAUAGAAUAUCAUCGGGAGUGAAAGUUUUUUUUCCUCUUGAGAUAGAUGGUGGAGGUCUAACAUCUGAUGUUUCACCGAUAUUCCCUAUUUCUUCAUCUGACAUUUUCACAUUAACUUCUGGUUGGGUGGUUGCUAUCACUUGACUUUCUUCCCUUUCUAAGAUAUCAUUAAAAUAUUCUAAGACAUCUUCACUGGAUCUUUCAGAGGAGUUUGAUUCCUAUGUGACUUCUUGUAAAGCAAUAAUUUUGGGAAGUAUUUGCUGGUUAUAAUCCUUUAAGAAUGUUGACAAAGGAUUUGAAUGACCUAUAUUCUCCUUAAUCAUCAGGGACUUAAACAUUUGCUUUGGUGUAGGAGAAUCCUCUUAUUCUUUAUUUAUAGGCAUUUUUCCCAAGGAUUUAUCUUUUUUCUGCUCUUCUGCUUCCUCUUGUUUCUUAUUUUCUUUUGCUUCUCUUUUUUCUUUUUCUUUUUG
This 1480-nucleotide long non-coding RNA is filed under the name Gossypium barbadense (sea-island cotton). RNAcentral describes it as "long non-coding RNA (GBAR_LNC014298)". Lineage: Eukaryota; Viridiplantae; Streptophyta; Magnoliopsida; Malvales; Malvaceae. The record is from RNAcentral.